GACCUUGAAAUACCACCCUUUAAUGUUUGAUGUUCUAACGUUGGCCCGUUAUCCGGGUUGCGGACAGUGUCUGGUGGGUAGUUUGACUGGGGCGGUCUCCUCCUAAAGAGUAACGGAGGAGCACGAAGGUUGGCUAAUCCUGGUCGGACAUCAGGAGGUUAGUGCAAUGGCAUAAGCCAGCUUGACUGCGAGCGUGACGGCGCGAGCAGGUGCGAAAGCAGGUCAUAGUGAUCCGGUGGUUCUGAAUGGAAGGGCCAUCGCUCAACGGAUAAAAGGUACUCCGGGGAUAACAGGCUGAUACCGCCCAAGAGUUCAUAUCGACGGCGGUGUUUGGCACCUCGAUGUCGGCUCAUCACAUCCUGGGGCUGAAGUAGGUCCCAAGGGUAUGGCUGUUCGCCAUUUAAAGUGGUACGCGAGCUGGGUUUAGAACGUCGUGAGACAGUUCGGUCCCUAUCUGCCGUGGGCGCUGGAGAACUGAGGGGGGCUGCUCCUAGUACGAGAGGACCGGAGUGGACGCAUCACUGGUGUUCGGGUUGUCAUGCCAAUGGCACUGCCCGGUAGCUAAAUGCGGAAGAGAUAAGUGCUGAAAGCAUCUAAGCACGAAACUUGCCCCGAGAUGAGUUCUCCCUGACUCCUUGAGAGUCCUGAAGGAACGUUGAAGACGACGACGUUGAUAGGCCGGGUGUGUAAGCGCAGCGAUGCGUUGAGCUAACCGGUACUAAUGAACCGUGAGGCUUAACCUU
Molecule: ribosomal RNA, 743 nt
Filed under: Staphylococcus aureus
Lineage: Bacteria; Bacillati; Bacillota; Bacilli; Caryophanales; Staphylococcaceae
Description: partial 23S ribosomal RNA
Rfam family: Bacterial large subunit ribosomal RNA
Source: RNAcentral